Molecule: small RNA, 529 nt
Filed under: Pan troglodytes (chimpanzee)
Lineage: Eukaryota; Metazoa; Chordata; Mammalia; Primates; Hominidae
Description: retained intron
Source: RNAcentral
AAUGUCUGAAGAAGUGACCUACGCGACACUCACAUUUCAGGAUUCUGCUGGAGCAAGGAAUAACCGAGAUGGAAAUAACCUAAGAAAAAGAGGGCAUCCAGCUCCAUCUCCCAUUUGGCGUCACGCUGCCCUGGGUCUGCUAACUCUUUGCCUGAUGUUGCUGAUUGGGCUGGUGACGUUGGGGAUGAUGUGUAAGUAUAUCAGCAUCAAACCCAACAAAGGCAACUAGAAAACAUAUUGUAAACCAUGUACUUUCAGCUUGGAUUGUAGAUGGCUCCUAGCAUCCUGAAUCGUCUGAUACUUUUCUGCUGUCUCAUAUCUCUCCUAUUCGUCAUAUCUUCCCAAAAAACCAGCAAAAGACAUUAUCAGGAUUUGGUUCUAAAUUCAUUGUUUUAUCUUGAUAAGCUAAACUGGACUUAGACAAAGACUCUGUUUCUAGUUAUUCAUUAGAAUAAAGAGCCUCUUUUCUGCCUAGACACACAUUCACUUAUCAUUCCAAUGCUGAGAAAUAAAGUCAAGAAAUAUGUAU